AGCUUCUGACAAGAUGACUCACAGACUUGGCUGCACUCCGAAUGAGGUAGAGUCUUACUCAUCCUUCGCUGAAUGACAAUCUCGUCUACUAUGAGUGUUCGUCAAACUGAUUAUCUAUACCUGCAGGCAUGAAUGCAGCGUCCCCAACAAAAGGACAUUAAUACGAAUAAUGUACUGAGUAUGUAAGGCAGAACUGAAACAUAACCAUAAUUCAACAUUAAGUAAAGAAAUAUAAGAAUCAUCCUGAAUAUCUGAAGUUCCACCUUAUCUGCAUAUUUAUCAUACUUACAUAUAUAAUACUUCUCUUUGAGACUAUUUCUAUUAUCCAUAUCGUAAGAUGCAUGACUGCCCAACUGAUCAGUGGUAGCUGCCCGACCGGCCAUCGCACGGCGGUAAAUGCAUGACUGCCCAACCGGUGGUAACUGUCCGACCGGUCGUAGCACGGUGGUAAAUGUAUAACUGCCCAACCGGCCGUAGCUCGGUGGUAAAUGCAUGACUGUCUGACCGGCCGUAGCUCGGUGGUAAAUGAAUAUGCAUGAUUGCCCAACCGGUGGUAAAUAAUGAUACAUACUUAGACAUGCUUGAAUAUCCCUUUACCGGAAUGAAUAACAUAGACAUCCUUAACUGCUAAGAGUAGAAACACUUAUGGAAUAAUAUUACGUUUAUGUAUCAUUACAUGAAUCAUGCCAAAAGAAAGAAGAAAUAACCUUAACAUAGUUGAGCAGCAGUUGGAAGCCCUUUAAACAGAAGUUUACUCAACUGAUGACUCGGUGAUAAUCCAAAACUUUAGUUUAAUUUGCUCUUGUGCUUCGUUUCUCAGUCUAAUUGGCGAAUUCCUCGACAACCAUUCUAAACCCAAAUACAUUUUCUUUCGUGACACAAGAUUACUAGCAUAGACCUUUGGUAGGAUACAGUAAAUGACAGCUCCAAUAAUUGCCACGGAUAGAUCCAUGGAUACGGCUAGAUACUGCUGGAUAUUCAGAAUUUGAUCAAGCAAACUGCCGUUCUCAAAGCUUCUAAGCUCUUUGCCUAGUUUUAACCCCUUUCCAUUUCUCUAGCAAUAAGUUCUUUUUUCUAUUGGUUUACCCCCUUGUCUUCUUCCCAUGUGGUGUUCUCAAUUCUAUAUUUUUACUUUCUAACUUACUAAGGUUUUCAAGACAAAUAUGCCUUCAUAUUCACGGUUGAUAAAAUCAAACAAUUCCAAUGAGACUUCUUGAGUUGUCUUCAGGAGUACAACUCAUAUUCUCAAUAAAACGCAAAAGUGGUACAAAAAGAAAAGUAAAGAAAUACUAUGUGGAUAGAAUUUUUGCUGUGUAUAUAGAAAACUAAAGUCUUUUGUGUAUAGUUUUAA
Molecule: long non-coding RNA, 1351 nt
Filed under: Nicotiana tabacum (common tobacco)
Lineage: Eukaryota; Viridiplantae; Streptophyta; Magnoliopsida; Solanales; Solanaceae
Description: long non-coding RNA (NTAB_LNC019385)
Source: RNAcentral